ACAGUUCGGUCCCUAUCCGUCGUGGGCGUAGGAAAUUUGAGAGGAGCUGUCCUUAGUACGAGAGGACCGGGAUGGACAUACCUCUGGUGUACCAGUUGUCGUGCCAACGGCAUAGCUGGGUAGCUAUGUAUGGACGGGAUAAGUGCUGAAAGCAUCUAAGCAUGAAGCCCCCCUCAAGAUGAGAUUUCCCAACUUCGGUUAUAAGAUCCCUCGAAGAUGACGAGGUUAAUAGGUUUGAGGUGGAAGCGUGGUGACACGUGGAGCUGACGAAUACUAAUCGAUCGAAGACUUAAUCAA
This 297-nucleotide ribosomal RNA is filed under the name Staphylococcus epidermidis NIHLM018. RNAcentral's name for it is "partial 23S ribosomal RNA". It matches the Rfam family "Bacterial large subunit ribosomal RNA", at positions 2626 to 2925 of the family's 2925-position model. The record is from RNAcentral. Lineage: Bacteria; Bacillati; Bacillota; Bacilli; Caryophanales; Staphylococcaceae.